Molecule: long non-coding RNA, 87 nt
Organism: Salarias fasciatus (jewelled blenny)
Lineage: Eukaryota; Metazoa; Chordata; Actinopteri; Blenniiformes; Blenniidae
Exons: 3
Source: RefSeq, a predicted model, not a curated record
AAUAACCCGCUGGCCCGCCAAAAGCCAGUUGUCCCUGUGCUAACUCUUCUGACACGUUCUGCUAAAAACACCAAAAGUCAGAAGAAU